RNAcentral lists this ribosomal RNA (41 nucleotides) under Penstemon procerus. Its description in RNAcentral is "partial 26S ribosomal RNA". Lineage: Eukaryota; Viridiplantae; Streptophyta; Magnoliopsida; Lamiales; Plantaginaceae. The record is from RNAcentral.
GACCGCGACCCAGGGUCAGGCGGGACUACCCGUGAGUUUAA